ACCGAACCAGGAAGUAAACAAUUGCUAUAAGCUUUAAAAACUACAAAUUUUGCAAAAAUAUGAUCCGAUUCUGUAAGAAACCCAUUAAGAUCUCUGGAAUAACUCAUUAGAAAGACUUUUAUUGGUCUAACAUGAGGCUGAAACUCGUCAAAGGAAGAUUUAAAGAUGCUGUAAACUGAUCUCAAAGCAAAGAUUAAUCCCUGAAAGCGACAUAAAUGUUGAAGAGCCAUGGGAUUAAAAAUAAAAUGUUUAAAAAAGA
Long non-coding RNA from Gambusia affinis (western mosquitofish), 259 nucleotides. RefSeq lists it as uncharacterized. The transcript has 2 exons. Lineage: Eukaryota; Metazoa; Chordata; Actinopteri; Cyprinodontiformes; Poeciliidae. The record is from RefSeq and is a predicted model, not a curated record.